This 241-nucleotide long non-coding RNA is filed under the name Homo sapiens (human). RNAcentral describes it as "HSALNT0367792". Lineage: Eukaryota; Metazoa; Chordata; Mammalia; Primates; Hominidae. The record is from RNAcentral.
CACGGUUCUCGGCCGUUUAACAUUCUUUUAAACGGCUCCCCCACUUCCAAUCUUAGUUUCCGUCCCAAUUUGGGAAUUGUUCCUGCCUGGAGGUGAGGGAACCAUCAAUGGCCUUGUCUGAGAUGCACGCCUUGGUGCACAACAAACUCCUCUGCCAUCGCUUAGUCCUUCAAAGCUGACAGUGCUUUUAGAGGAAUGAAUACUUUUGGACUGGAAAGUAGACCUGGAAAAAUGGCCGUUA